Molecule: microRNA precursor, 258 nt
Filed under: Trypanosoma vivax Y486
Lineage: Eukaryota; Euglenozoa; Kinetoplastea; Trypanosomatida; Trypanosomatidae
Source: RNAcentral
GACAGUGCAGAGAUAAGUGAUUGUCGGCAGUUGGCAACGACAACACCGCAACGGCAAGAUAGGUCUGCGUUUGUUUGCUUGUAUUACUUUAGCCAACUGUUGGCUAAUAUAUGUAUAUAUAUAUAUAUAUAUAUAUAUAUAUAUAUAUAUAUAUGUCUACAGAUGGCUAUAGUAAUACAAGCAAACAAACGCAGACAUAUAUUGCCGUUGCGGUGUUGUCGUUGCCAACUGCGGACAAUCACAUAUCUCUGCACAGUC